GGGCGGGGCUGCGGGGUUCGGGUUUCCCAGCCGCGUUAUCUGAGGACCGGCUGCUGGGAUUUGAUCGGGGCCAGUUCGAGAGAGCGGCCGACGCCGUCUUUGCCCCAGAACAGACUCGUCUUUGAGCUCUGCCGCCGCCCGGGCUGGGCACGGAAGAAAGAAAACAAACUCCGCGCUGUGUGCGGUUCUCCGGAAUCUCUCCUGGCCCCGGAGCGGGAGAAGCGGAGCGGCCUUGAGUUCGGCCCCGGCGCCCUCUGCAGGCGGCAAACGGCGGCCACGCUGAGCCGGGCCCAGGCUGGAAAUUAGGUUUCCCCCAGGAAGAGCAUCAUCUGCAAACUGAGGGAUUUCCUACACACAAUAACACGGGUGCAUUGUGGUGUCAUCUUCAACGUGAGGCGAUCAACAACAACAAAAGUAAUGGUCAGGAAAAGCCAAUUCCCUAAGUAUCAGGACAGAAGGAAGAAUCAUCCACUCCCGUACAUCUCUCUAAGGCCUGGGAACAGGGCACUCUGAGAAUGUUUGUCCCAGUUUAUCAAUGGAAAAAACUGAUCUGCUAUCACAGACUUUUUCAAGAAAAGUAAUAGCUUCUGCCCGCAGUACAAUCACCACCUUCCUUUACACAUCGUUAACAAUUGUAAAUAUGAAAACCUGGGUUCUCUCCUUUGUCCUGGGUAAAUCAGAAAGAUGCUAUCUUGAGCAAAGACCAACUUACUACCAAGAGGCUUUCUGGGUAUGGAAACAAUUAUUUUGUCCCAAAUGCAAUUUGCCUAAAAACGGAUAAAGUUUUAUUGUCAUC
Macaca mulatta (Rhesus monkey) is the source of this 796-nucleotide non-coding RNA. The record is from RefSeq and is a predicted model, not a curated record. Lineage: Eukaryota; Metazoa; Chordata; Mammalia; Primates; Cercopithecidae.